Molecule: ribosomal RNA, 352 nt
Filed under: uncultured Ruminococcus sp.
Lineage: Bacteria; Bacillati; Bacillota; Clostridia; Eubacteriales; Oscillospiraceae
Description: bacterial SSU rRNA
Rfam family: Bacterial small subunit ribosomal RNA
Source: RNAcentral
GGCUCAGGACGAACGCUGGCGGCGUGCUUAACACAUGCAAGUCGAACGGGAAACCUUUUAAUGAAGCUUCGGCAGAUUUAGCUGGUUUCUAGUGGCGGACGGGUGAGUAACGCGUGGGUAACCUGCCUUAUACAGGGGGGAUAACAGUCAGAAAUGACUGCUAAUACCGCAUAAGCGCACAGGGCCGCAUGGUCCGGUGUGAAAAACUCCGGUGGUAUAAGAUGGACCCGCGUUGGAUUAGCUUGUUGGUGGGGUAACGGCUCACCAAGGCGACGAUCCAUAGCCGGCCUGAGAGGGUGAACGGCCACAUUGGGACUGAGACACGGCCCAGACUCCUACGGGAGGCAGCAGU